GCGCUCCUCUCUAGACGAAUUUCGUGGGGCCCAUCCCCCUUACUGACUACACUACCCAGAAUGCACGUUGUCCUCGCGGCCUUCGGGGCAGCCAUGGAGGACUUGGGCGGAAGUAAGUACACAUCCCCCUUCGACCUAGACCGAGAAUUUACUGAAAUCGUAAGUUGAUGACGUCCUUCUAUGUGUAAGUGAAUUCAACUUGUGGCAAAAAGGUUUAUUUUUCCCGGAACUCCAGUGGAAGUUAUAGGCUUCUCUUCCCAGAGUAAAGAUGUCCGCCGAGCGCCUGAUUUCUGGGUAAAGGAGCGUCCAAAAGAAGUGCGCAAAGAUGUUUGCGUCCUGCCUGUGGAUGGCGCUCUUUCGGGGGCGGGCCGAACUGAUCCAUCCGUGAAUGGUGGAGCACUAGUGUCCGCCCCCAAUAGAGCCCAAUCAAAAAGGAGGAACGCUGAACACUAAGUAGCUAUUGGUUGGCCUCUGGGCCAAUCGGAAGAGCCAUGAUUUGGCGGGAGCCUUGACCGCCGCGGGGGCUUAGUGUGACUGGGUAAGCGAGCUCCGGGCGUCCCGUCACCGUGGCCAUGUUCGUGUCCGAUUUCCGCAGGGAGUUCUACGAGGAGGUGCAGAGCCAGAGGGUCCUUCUCUUCGUGGCCUCGGACGUGGACGCCCUGUGCGCUUGCAAGGUCCUUCAGGCCCUGUUCCAGUGUGACCACGUGCAGUACACUCUGGUUCCAGUUUCUGGGUGGCAAGAACUCGAAACUGCAUUUCUUGAGCAUAAAGAACAGUUCCAUUAUUUCAUCCUCAUAAACUGUGGAGCCAACAUAGACCUACUGGAUAUCCUUCAGCCUGAUGAAGAUGCCAUAUUUUUUGUGUGUGACACGCACAGGCCAGUCAAUAUUGUAAAUGUGUACAACGAUACCCAGAUCAAACUACUCAUUAAACAAGAUGAUGACCUCGAAGUUCCUGCCUAUGAUGACAUCUUUAGGGAUGAAGAAGAGGAGGAAGAGCAUCCGGGAAAUGAAAGUGACCACGGGUCAGAGCCUUCCGAGAAGCGCACACGAUUAGAAGAGGAGAUAGCAGAGCAAACCAUGAAGAGGAGGGAGCGGAGAGAGUGGGAGGCCCGGAGAAGAGACAUCCUCUUUGACUAUGAGCAGUAUGAAUACCAUGGGACGUCGUCAGCCAUGGUGAUGUUCGACCUGGCGUGGAUGAUGUCCAAGGACCUAAAUGACAUGCUGUGGUGGGCCGUCGUCGGACUAACAGACCAGUGGGUGCAAGACAAGAUCACCCAGAUGAAGUAUGUGACUGACGUGGGAGUCCUGCAGCGCCACGUGUCCCGGCACAACCACCGGAACGAGGACGAGGAGAACGCCCUGUCCGUGGACUGCACACGGAUCUCCUUCGAGUAUGACCUCCGCCUGGCGCUCUACCAGCACUGGUCCCUCCACGACAGCCUGUGCAACACAUGCUACACUGCUGCCAGGUUCAAGCUCUGGUCUGUGCAGGGGCAGAAGCGGCUCCAGGAGUUCCUGGCAGAUGUGGGUCUCCCCCUGAAACAGGUGAAGCAGAAGUUUCAGUCCAUGGACAUCUCCUUGAAGGAGAAUCUGCAGGAGAUGAUCGAAGAGUCUGCAAAUAAGUUUGGGAUGAAGGACAUGCGUGUGCAGACUUUCAGCAUUCAUUUCGGGUUCAAGCAUAAGUUCCUGGCCAGUGACGUGGUCUUCGCCACCAUGUCGCUGAUGGAGAGCCCCGAGAAGGAUGGCUCAGGGACGGAUAACUUCAUCCAGGCUCUGGACAGUCUCUCCAGGAGUAACCUGGACAAGCUCUACCGUGGCUUAGAACUUGCCAAGCAGCGGCUGCGAGCCAUACAGCAGACCGUCGCCAGCUGCCUCUGCACCAACCUCGUCGUCUCCCAGGGGCCCUUCCUCUACUGCGCCCUCGUGGAGGGGACUCCAGACAUCAUGCUGUUCUCCAAGCCAGCGUCCCUGAACCUGCUCAGCAGACACCUGCUCAAGUCCUUUGUGUGCUCGACCAAGAACCGGCGCUGCAAGCUGCUGCCCUUGGUGAUGGCUGCACCCCUGAGUACGGAGCAGGGCACGGUGACCGUGGUGGGCAUCCCCCCAGAGACUGACAGCUCAGACAGAAAGAACUUCUUUGGGCAGGCAUUUGAGAAGGCAGCAGAGGGCACCAACUCCCGGACCCUGCACAACCGUUUUGACUUCUCAGUAAUUGAACUGAAAGCAGAGGAUCGCAGCAAGUUUCUGGAUGCGCUUGUGUCCCUCCUGUCCUGAGGAAAGUGCCAGCAUUUGCCCCCUCCUGACCACGUUUACCCUGGUCUGGAGCCACUGCUAUGGCAGAUGGGCCCUGCCAACGCUCUGACAUAGAGGUCUCCUCAUGCCAGUCCAGGGUCCCCAUCUGUGAAUCUGAUUUCUUCAGAAAUACCCUCUUCCUUAUUUAUAUUAGUUGGCUUUUAUUUGGACUGUAAGUUAUGAACAUUGUUUUAGAUGCACGACAGUCAGUUUUUAAUGAAAUAAAAUCCUUAUUUUAGG
RNA transcript from Manis pentadactyla (Chinese pangolin), 2534 nucleotides. It is a transcript of the gene named cell division cycle 45, with no coding region annotated. Lineage: Eukaryota; Metazoa; Chordata; Mammalia; Pholidota; Manidae. The transcript is spliced from 20 exons. The record is from RefSeq and is a predicted model, not a curated record.